Aedes albopictus (Asian tiger mosquito) is the source of this 1593-nucleotide long non-coding RNA. RefSeq lists it as uncharacterized. The record is from RefSeq and is a predicted model, not a curated record. The transcript has 5 exons. Lineage: Eukaryota; Metazoa; Arthropoda; Insecta; Diptera; Culicidae.
CUAUUAGAAUUAAGAAUGUCAAACUCACAUAAUAAAUAUUUAAUCUUGUAUGCGAUUCAUGCAAUUUAUUGAACUUAGCGAUGAAAAAAUCAUACUUUGUCAUUUUUAUCUAUUUGAUUCACGCAGCUAAUAGUUUAAGUAGAAAAUUACCCAAAAUGAACUAUUUUGAUUUUACUUCAUUUUAGGUAGAAUAUACUUAAUUUUGGUUGAAAAUUUCCUUCGGUGUUUUUCAGACUGAUCAUUGACGGGCGCGAGCUACUGCCGCCAUUACUAUUUCAUCUCUCAGGCGGUGUGCUCGUGAAUUGUAUCGCGUGUGAAAAUUGAGUUUUUUCCGUCGAUUUUUGUUCGUCAUCGCCCGUUUCCGUUCCGCGAUUUAUUCUGUGUUGUCCGGCUGACGAUUGUUGUGGUGCUGCUGUUUUUGUGCUUCGGAAAUCGGGCUCGGUCAACGAAUUUUGUUCGGUUCCCGUUCUGCAACGACUUCUUCCGUUCGUUCCGGUUCCCGUCCUGCGACGACUUCUUUCGUUCGUUCCGGUGCUGGUUAGCUGUGGUGCUGCUGGUUCGCUGCCGUUCCCCACGCAGCCGGUUUUCCUGGAGGAUUCCCGGUACCGGAUCUGGCCGGUUCACGUGCUCUUUGCCCUGAUUGAGCUGCUGUCAGUGUGCCCAAGCUAGCCCGCGCCACGCUUUUCGCACUGUGUUUUGUGCUGCUGGUUCGGUGCCGUUCCUCGGUCAUCCGUUCCCGUUCUGCGACGACUUCUUCCGUUCGUUCCGGUUCUUGUUCGGCUGACCUUCGUUGUGGUGCUGCUGGUUCGCUGCCGUUCCCGACGCAGCCGGUUUUCCUGGAGGAUUCCCGGUACCGGAUCUGGCCGGUUCACGUGCUCUUCGCACUGAUUGAGCUGCUGUCAGUGUGCCCAAGCUAGCCCGCGCCACGCUUUUCGCACUGUGUUUUGUGCUGCUGGUUCGGUGCCGUUCCUCGGUCAUCCGUUCCCGUUCUGCGACGACUUCUUCCGUUCGUUCCGGUUCUUGUUCGGCUGACCUUCGUUGUGGUGCUGCUGGUUCGCUGCCGUUCCCGACGCAGCCGGUUUUCCUGGAGGUUUCCCGGUACCGGAUCUGGCCGGUUCACGUGCUCUUUGCCCUGAUUGAGCUGCUGUCAGUGUGCCCAAGCUAGUCCGCGCCACGCUUUUCGCACUGUGUUUUGUGCUGCUGGUUCGGUGCCGUUCCUCGGUCAUCGAGUUUUGCUCCGUUCCCGUUCUGCGACGACUUCUUCCGUUCGUUCCGGUUCCCGUCCUGCGACGACUUCUUUCGUUCGUUCCGGUGCUGGUUAGCUGUGGUGCUGCUGGUUCGCUGCCGUUCCCCACGCAGCCGGUUUUCCUGGAGGAUUCCCGGUACCGGAUCUGGCCGGUUCACGUGCUCUUUGCCCUGAUUGAGCUGCUGUCAGUGUGCCCAAGCUAGUCCGCGCCACGCUUUUCGCACUGUGUUUUGUGCUGCUGGUUCGGUGCCGUUCCUCGGUCAUCCGUUCCCGUUCUGCGACGACUUCUUCCAUUCGUUCCGGUUCUUGUUCGGCUGACCUUCGUUGUGGUGCUGCUGGUUCGCUGC